Molecule: ribosomal RNA, 496 nt
Filed under: uncultured Actinomycetes bacterium
Lineage: Bacteria; Bacillati; Actinomycetota; Actinomycetes
Description: bacterial SSU rRNA
Rfam family: Bacterial small subunit ribosomal RNA
Source: RNAcentral
GGAGCAUGCGGCUUAAAUUCGACGCAACGCGAAGAACCUUACCAAGGCUUGACAUAUAGGGAAAAGUGGCAGAGAUGUCAUGUCCGCAAGGGCUCUAUACAGGUGGUGCAUGGUUGUCGUCAGCUCGUGUCGUGAGAUGUUGGGUUAAGUCCCGCAACGAGCGCAACCCUCGUUCUGUGUUGCCAGCAUUUAGUUGGGGACUCACAGGAGACUGCCGGGGUUAACUCGGAGGAAGGUGGGGAUGACGUCAAAUCAUCAUGCCCCUUAUGUCUUGGGCUGCACGCAUGCUACAAUGACCGGUACAGAGGGCUGCAAUACCGUAAGGUGGAGCGAAUCCCAAAAAGCCGGUCUCAGUUCGGAUUGAGGUCUGCAACUCGACCUCAUGAAGUUGGAGUUGCUAGUAAUCGUAGAUCAGCAUCGCUACGGUGAAUACGUUCCCGGGGCUUGUACACACCGCCCGUCACGUCACGAAAGUCGGUAACACCCAAAAGUCAGU